Oryctolagus cuniculus (rabbit) is the source of this 6718-nucleotide non-coding RNA. The record is from RefSeq and is a predicted model, not a curated record. Lineage: Eukaryota; Metazoa; Chordata; Mammalia; Lagomorpha; Leporidae.
AAGCGCGCCCACGGGCCCGCCGCGGCCGUUUCCGUCGCUCCGGGACGCGGAGCGCAACGCCGGACAGGAGGCUGACUCCGUGCGUGCCAGCUGCCCGCCUUGACCUCGCGUCCAAGAUGGGAAAGGUCCCCGUCACCCACCGCCGCGCAGAGGUGUGGCGCCGCGGGGCUCCAGGGUCCCCUCCAACACUGGAUAGAGAUGGCCUACGAUGGAAUCAGGAGGGUGUUACAGGAAUGUCAGAGUGAGGCUUCCAAGGCUCUCCCUGAUCUCCUGGAUCACUUGCCCUGGGGGAAGCCAGCUGCCGUCUCCCAAGGACACCGGGCAGCCCUUGGGACAGGUCCACGUGGAGAGGAAGUGAAGCCUCCCGCCGGCAGUCAGCACUGCCUUGUCACACACGGGUGCCAGGCGUGUGUGCCUGAGCCACCCUGGAAACGGACCUUCCAACUCCGUCAAACCUUCCAGUGAGCAGCCACACCCUGACUUGGUGAAAAAUCUCCAGGCAGAAGCACCCGGCUCCCCUGCUCCUGCGUUCCCAACCUCCGGAGCCUGCGAGGAGAGUAAAUGUUCACUGCUGUUGUAAGCUGCCGAGUUGGGGGACAAUUUUUUACUUAGCAGUAGCACUCUAAUAGAAGAUGUCUGCAUCUAGGAGCAGAGCAGCCAGGUCACACGUGAGGAAGCCAGAAGCAAUUUAUGGCAAAGUUAAUGAAGCUUAAGCUCACUCGCAUGGGCCCCUUCCAAAGCCCUGCGAUUUUGUAAUCACGGUUUUGAUUCCUCUGCUUACAAGGCUCCCAAAUCACAUCAGCUUCAGGCCCCCAAAAACCCGACUGUGCCGCUGGAGAAACUGAGGCCCUGAACUGUGAAGUGACCUGGCCCAGGACACACACCUGAGAACCCUGACUAAUCCACCAGCCCAGAUUCAAGGGCUGGAGAGCAGAUUCCAUCCUCUGAUGAAAGCACCCACAAAGGCACAGCUGUGAAAGGGCCAGGACCCAAGGAAGGAAGCAACUGCAACAGCCACCUUUGCUAAUGCUCACAACAGGGCUUCUCUGCAGGACUCAGCCCCAGUUGCCCUCAGUGGUACCUGGCUCGAUAAUGCACCUUGUGUGGGGGCUGCUUUCCCUCCCUCACCUCACCGAACCAUCCGCGUCCAGAUCUUUGUCUUAGGGUCUGCUUCUAGGGGAACUCAACCUAAGACACCGUCCCAGCCCUGUCUGACCCAGUGGUCAAGAUGAAGGCAGGGGUUUCCAGCAGGUGUCUGAACCCUCAUCUCUACUCUGGACCCAACCCUCACAGGAGGGUGAUCGGACGAUGCUGGCAGGACUACAGUGAGGACAGGAGUGGCUCCGUACCCAAAUCCUGGAAUGAACCGCCGGGGAGCCACCACCAUCUGGGCAGCAAGCGGCAGCACAGCCUGCCCCCCCCAUUCUACCUGAAGGCAGGACUGGGCAGGGGCGGCACAGCCUGGUCCCCCCCGCCCCCCAUUCUACCUGAAGGCCGGACUGGGCAGGGGAAGGAGGGCUGCAGGGCAGCUCGCUAUCCAGGAGGACAGGACUUCCCUGUGGCUCCCUAAAGUGAGGGAGAAAGGGCUUCCGAGCCACCGUUCAGGGCGGCAGUUUACGAGUCCCCACAGGCCUGGCUGUUCCGACGGACACUCCAUGGCCUGUCCUGCAUCUCUAAGUUGCCUCCUUCUCUCCAUCACGAUGACAGUCACCAAUUGUCACCAGCUCCCGCCUGGCAUUUUGGAACCUCCCUCCCAGGCUCUGUCUCCUCUCUCAGCCUCUGGUCUGCUCCAUCCCAACACUCUAAAGUGGAUCUCGCAAACCAAGUUGGCAGGCACCAGCCUGUGGUCCACAUGCUGCCUGUGGUCUAUUUUUGUGUGGCCUGUAAGCUUAGAAUGGUUUUUCCAUUUUCUUCUUAAACAAAACAAAGAAAACUAUGUGACAGAGAUGCUUGCCAACCCCUGCCCUCAAGCUUAAAGGAGUGGUCUGCCUGGCAGCCUCAUUGCCACCCCUCACCCGACACACCCUCAGGUUGCUUUCUGUGCCUGAAACACCCACCCUCACUCCCUGGUAUGCCUGGUCACCGACCCACACUUCAGAACUCACUGAGUGUCCCGUUGGCUGGGCCUAGGCCUGCUGGCUCCAGAUCACGGCUUGGCUCCCUAUGCUCUUCCUGAAGGCUGAAAACCCAGCAAGACUGGAUCGCGGCUGGGCUUCACCUACGGUGGGAGGUGGAAGGGCAGGAAGAAGGAAGAUGGCAGGGUCUUUCUUCCCAGGGUCUCGGGCCCCAUGGGGUUUUCAUUACUCAGAACACCCAGUAGAUGUGCCCACCAUGGCCCCAGCUCCUACUGGGUGACCUGAGACCCUGAACUUGCCCUUCCCACUCCUCCCUCAGGCAGCCGGGGCUUCCUGGGGCUGCUGAUCUCUGAGUUGCCCCUGACUGGCUUCUCGGCUCGUCCACCUGUGUAACCAGUCGCCUGCAUUUCAUUACCUCUGUUUAAACACUGGUUUGGAAGGCAGGUGUUGUUUUGAGUAGCCUUCAAGAUGCCACUUGGGACACUUCUGUCCCUUAUCAGACUACCUGAGUUUGUGUCCUGGCUCUGCUCUCAAUUCCAGCUUCCUGCUAAUGUACUCCAUGGGAGGCAGCAGGUGAUGGCUCAAGGCCUUGGGUCCCUGCCACUCACCUGGGAGACCCAGAUACUGAAUGCCUGCGUCCUGGCCCAGCCCUGGCUGUUGUAUUUGACUAGUGAACCAACAGAGGGGAUCUCUCUCCCUCUCCUUCUCCUCUCUCAUUCUCUCCCUCUCAAAUUCAUGGUAAAUAAACAAAUAACAAUGUAAGCACUGAUGUUUGUUUUCUAGGUAGGACAGCUGACUAGUACACCAUUCUUUCAGGCAUCCACUAACCCCUAGAGCAGCUCACUCAUUGCUUCCAUAAGCCUGUGGGUGCCUACGGUGCCCUAAGCCAAGAGUCAGCAAACCAUGGGCCAAAUCCAGGCCACUGUGUACUUUGUAAAGAAAGCAUUACUGGAACACAGCCACACCCAUAUUUACAUAUUGCCUAGGACUACUUUCACAGGUGGAGUUGAAUAGCUGUAACAGAGACCCACCUGCAGCCCACAAAGACGAAACUAUUCACUCUGGUUCCUUUCAGGAAACAUUUGCCAACCCUUGUUCUAGGUAGGCUUUUGCUACCUGAAAUGUAGACCCGGAACACCUGGGAGCUCAUUAGAACUGCAGAAUAUUAGAGGCUACCCAGGCCCACCAAAUCAGAACCUGCAGGUGGACAAGGCCCUCAGCUGAAGUGUGUGCACACUGAGGUGUGAGCUUGCUGUCUUGAGAAGUCAUAUGCUUAUCACCACAUUCACCUGAUCAUCAGUCUUUAUUAGCACAUUGGUCUUAGUUGGAUCCCCAGCACCUGGUCAGUUGGCCCAGAAAGGAUAAAUGCAGUGAUUCUCUGGCUCAUAAAUUAUUGGGCGCUGAAGGAAGAGUUUCAAAGAGAGCUGUUCCCAUUUUUGACAUACAGGUUGGCAAAGAUCAGGAAGUCUCUGAGCACAGGUGUUGGGACGUAAAGGAAAUAGCUCUCACAUGGUUUGGACCACCUCUUUGGGGAGAUCAAUUUGAGAAAAUGUUCAUGGAAAAAUGGAAUUAAAUGAUAAAUUUAUAUGGGUGCAAAAACAUUUUUCGGAAAUCCAUGCAUUGUUUUUACAUAAUGCAUAUUUUUCAUGAACUUUUGGAAGGCCCUUCAUAGUCAUCAAAACUACAAAUGCACAAACCCUGUGACCCUCAUCCUCGGGACAGACUUAGGACUGAGAGCAAGGAUAGGCUACCAAGGGAUUUACUGCACAAAAACCAAAGUUGUCUGCAACCAAGUUGCCUACAAUCAAGUGGCCAUCAACUAGAAAUUUGCUCAGCAAAUUAUGAUAUAUAAUGAAACUAUACAACUUUUAAAAAGAAAGACAGGGGCCAGCGCUGUGGCUUAGCAGGUAAAGCCACCACUUAUAGUGCCAGUAUCCCAUAUGGGCGCCAGUUCGAGACCUGGCUGCUCCACUUCUGAUCAAGCUCUCUGGUAUGGCCUGGGAAAGCAGUGAAGGAUGGCCCAAAUCCUUGAGCCCCUGCACCGACGCGGAAGACCCAGAGGAAGAUCCUGGUUCCUGGCUUCAGAUCGACGAAGCUCCAGCCUCUGUGGCCAACUGGGGAGUGAACCAGCAGAUGGAAGACCUCUCUCUCUCUCUCUCCCCUCUCUCUCUCUACCUCUCCUCUCUCUGUGUAACUCUGACUUUCAGAUAAAUAAGUCUUUUUAAAAAUUAAAAAAUAAAAAGAAAGGAGUUAGAGAAUCUCCAAGAUAUAUUAUGUGUAAAGUGAAAAAAAGUAAGACGUAGAACACCCCAUAGGAGACAGAGGAAAAAGAGGAGGAGGUGAUAGAGAUUUUCUUGCAUUCUCAUAAAACAUCUCUUAAAGGAUGUGCCCAGACUCCACCACCACUGGCCCCUAGAAGAGGUUAUUGGAUUGCUGGGUGCAGGGAUAAGAAAAGACCUUUCACUGCCUACCUUUAUAUACUUUUUGUUUCUGUACUUUGGCUGCAAGUUUAUUCGACACAAAGUAUUUCCCUCUAACUGUAUUGAGAUGUUGGCAAAAUCUCUGUCACAUAGUUUCUUUGUUUUGUGGCUGACCACACCCAUGAACAAAUCUGCCCUGAAACUGUAAUUUGAUUGCUGGCCCAGCCCUGACUUUCUUGUGCCACCUUGGGCCAGGGGCCAGGGAGGUGGGGGACACGACGGUGCUGAGACCAUAGGUCUCGUCAGUGUCUCCGUGAGCUUCCCCUCUUGUGAGCCUUGCCCACUCACACUGCAGACCUGUGGGCUGAGGUCUGCUGGUCUCAGGACACAGCUUGGGAUCCUGGCAGGCAGAGUCUCUGGAGCAGGUGGAGGUCAUUGCCAGACACCCUCGUUGGUAAGAUACCUGUACAACACCUCCGGGCAAACUGCUCCCUCAUGCUGCCUUGGGACUUGAGAGACUGCAUGGACUUCAGUUGUGUGGUUGUUGUUUGCUUAGGCACGUGGGCAUCCCUCCUGGCUACCGUCAUUCCCACCUUAAAAAAGAGGUCAUAAAUGGCAGUGCAAUCCUUUUGGGGCACAUCAGCCUGGCAUGGUCAGGACUGGAUAGGAAGGGGCAUCUUGUCGCUCCCCCUCUUCGUGGAGGAACGACACAGGACCCUGCGCUGUUCUUUUUGUCUGCUCGGCCCUCCCCGGGUUUGCUGCUGGUUCUUCCCGGGUUGGCUACUAUCCCUUCCACCUCUGUGGAAGGGCAGUUCCCCCUGGCCGCAUUCCCCACUUCCGCAGGGGAACGGCACACCGCCGGCCGGCUUUCUCGGGGGGCUGCACAGGUGUUCCCUCAGAUGUUCCCCUUAGAUGUUCCUGGUGCAUGCCGUCUCUCUCCUCCUUUAUAGUCCUCCUCCGCCAAUCCUAACUCGGCUGCCCACACGCCGAGUACGCUGCUCUCCUCCAAUCAGGAGUAGGUCCUACAGUUUAUUGGUUGAACUGGAGGCAGCUGCGUAGAAGCUGUUUUCUCCUCUCCCAGCGCCAUAUUGUGGGAGAGCAGAUGCAUAGAAUAAGUCUUAAUUCCAGUAACAAUAUAGUCCGAGUUGCUCCCCACAGUGGGAGAGCAGAUGCAUAGAAUAAGUCUUAAUUCCAGUAACAGUAUAGUCCGAGUUGCUCCCCACAGCAUCUCCACGGCAUCUCUUCCCUAGUACUUUUUGAAAUAAAACAACAGGCUGGGCAUUUAGUCUAACAGUUAAGACACCCAUGGCCCACACCUGGGCGCCUGGAUUCAAUACACGAGGCUCCACUCCUGACUCCAGCUUCCUGCUAAUGCAGACCCUGGGAGACAUCAGGUGAUGGCUCAAGUGAUUGGGUUCCUGGAGGUCCCUCACUUGGGAGGCCUGGAUUAUGUUCCCAGCUCCUGGCUUUGGCUUGGCCCAGCCUCAGCUGUUGCGGGUUUUUGAAUAGUGAACCAGGAGAUUCUCUCUCUCUCUCUCUCUCUCUCUCUCACAUAAUAAGAACAAGCCAACCAUAAAAGCAGGAAAAGUCUCAGGAGCGUAUACACGCAGCAUAGCAUAGAAAAGUGAGGCCGUAGUUUAGAUGUCAGUCUGGAGUUUCCCCACUUGGAAUGUGGUCCCCAGGCCAGCAGCAUCAGCAUCCCCGGAGAACCAGUGAGCAACUCGAAGUCCCAGGCCCCAUCCCCAAAGCAUGCAGUGGGAAUCUGCAGUUUAACCAGAGCCCCAGGGAAUUCGCUCUCACAGCACGGUUUGAGACGCUCUGGUCCAGCCGCUCGGAGAACUCACUCAUUACAGCACCACCUGGUUCCCAUGGUCUGUUACUAAUAAAACAGCUGUCUGUUCCCCCCAACUGGGGCUCCAUCCCAGUGAGACACCAGGGCCCAGGCUGUUCCCAUUAAGGGGGAGGUUUUCCGCAGCUCCGCCCAGGCCCUGGCUGGCCCCAUGCCCAGUGUCCUGGCGGGUUCCCAGCUGAGAAGACAGCUCACUUCCUCCUGCUGAACUGCUCCCCGCUCCCCGAGAUGUAAACUCUUUCCAGCACGAACAAAGAUGCAUCUGUCUGGCUCAGGUUUUUUCCUACCGAGUGUUUAUUUAUCCAUCCACCCUGGGCCUCCGAGGACCCGGCCCCUGACCUGGUGGUGGAAGGAGCCAGGGAGGGGUAGCCGAA